Non-coding RNA from Paramuricea clavata, 483 nucleotides. Lineage: Eukaryota; Metazoa; Cnidaria; Anthozoa; Malacalcyonacea; Plexauridae. The record is from the annotation of a GenBank genome assembly.
CAGGUGGUUUUUGAAAAUUGUGGCCACUGAUUGGUAAAGCUACUUCGGAUUAUUCCACGAUAAUCACCUAAUGCGCAAUGGCCGCCCGGUUUGUCAGUGUGAAAGACGAAGAAAUAACAAAGUGCACAAAAGAUGCAACAAAAUUUGGUGUAAAACUAUUUCAAGGUAGUAUCUCCGUUGUAGAAUUGAAGUGAACUUUGCUUUGUCUGAAAAUACUAUUUUAACAGUGUGAAAAAUGCAAAAUAGUACUAUUUCUUUAAUAUUCACCGACCCUGAGGCGACUAAUUGUUAAAUAUAUAUCGCUUGCAGUAUUUCAAUGAGUAUUGUCCAGUUCUGAAUGGUGCAGUGAAACUAACAUCCAACAACAUAUUAUAAAUACAAUUCUUGUGGUUUUCUCUGACGACAAAGUACUAAGCCUUCUUCCUUUAUUUUGGGAUUUUUCACAAGGACUAAGCGCAAAAUCCCAGUUAUGCUACUGCGAAG